GACGAACGCUGGCGGCGUGCUUAACACAUGCAAGUCGAACGAUGAACCCGGAGCUUGCUCCGGCGGAUUAGUGGCGAACGGGUGAGUAACACGUGAGUAACCUGCCCUUGACUCUGGGAUAACUGCUAGAAAUGGUAGCUAAUACCGGAGACGACCCUCGGUGGCAUCACCAGGGGGUUGAAAGAAUUUCGGUCAAGGAUGGACUCGCGGCCUAUCAGCUAGUUGGUGAGGUAACGGCUCACCAAGGCGACGACGGGUAGCCGGCCUGAGAGGGUGACCGGCCACACUGGGACUGAGACACGGCCCAGACUCCUACGGGAGGCAGCAGUGGGGAAUAUUGCACAAUGGGCGCAAGCCUGAUGCAGCAACGCCGCGUGAGGGAUGACGGCCUUCGGGUUGUAAACCUCUUUUAGUAGGGAAGAAGCGAAAGUGACGGUACCUGCAGAAAAAGCACCGGCUAACUACGUGCCAGCCGCCGCAGUAA
Molecule: ribosomal RNA, 484 nt
Filed under: uncultured bacterium
Lineage: Bacteria
Description: partial 16S ribosomal RNA
Rfam family: Bacterial small subunit ribosomal RNA
Source: RNAcentral